RNAcentral lists this ribosomal RNA (253 nucleotides) under uncultured bacterium. RNAcentral describes it as "partial 16S ribosomal RNA". It matches the Rfam family "Bacterial small subunit ribosomal RNA", at positions 524 to 776 of the family's 1533-position model. The record is from RNAcentral.
UACGAAGGGGGCUAGCGUUGCUCGGAAUCACUGGGCGUAAAGGGUGCGUAGGCGGGUCUUUAAGUCGGGGGUGAAAUCCUGGAGCUCAACUCCAGAACUGCCUUCGAUACUGGAAAGCUCGAGUCCGGGAGAGGUGAGUGGAACUGCGAGUGUAGAGGUGAAAUUCGUAGAUAUUCGCAAGAACACCAGUGGCGAAGGCGGCUCACUGGCCCGGUACUGACGCUGAGGUGCGAAAGCGUGGGGAGCAAACAGG